This is a long non-coding RNA of Hibiscus syriacus, 153 nucleotides long. RefSeq lists it as uncharacterized. The transcript has 3 exons. The record is from RefSeq and is a predicted model, not a curated record. Lineage: Eukaryota; Viridiplantae; Streptophyta; Magnoliopsida; Malvales; Malvaceae.
CUAAAAAAUCACUUGGAAAAUCUCAACCAAAGAAGAUAAAAUCAAAAUGGUAAACAGAAUCCUACCCUGCAUACAAAAGGAGUUCCGAAUAGCUUAAAAUUCAGCACUGAGUCUAUGUAUAUGCUAAAGCUUCACCUUUGCAAGUUCCAUUUC